GAUCGGGAGAGAUUUGUCCCUCCUAGCAGCAGCCAGACUUCCAAUAAAUUGUUGAAUCUGCAAAGAGGAGGACUGACUGCUACUUCAAUACAAGGGGCAGAGAAAGAAGUAGACACACAGACUCCAGUACUUUCUUCCCAGGUCAGGCCUGCUACUGGAGAAAAGAGUGUCCAGAUGGAAGAGAGAGAGCGCACCAUCUGUUUGUUCAAACAAACUGGGACUGCUAACUGCUGUGUGCUCAAAAAGACAGCAAAACCUAAUGAAAUGUUCCCUGCAAGAACAAAAUGGAACACCAAAAAAUAGACAGAAAAAGUCUACAGUAUAAAAAAGGUAGGCAUAUUUGCACUGAACAAAAAUGAAUAAGACUCAAGAGCUAGAAAAUAUGUAUCAUAUAUUUGGAUUCUUAUUUUUAUUGUAUGC
RNAcentral lists this long non-coding RNA (420 nucleotides) under Anolis carolinensis (green anole). RNAcentral's name for it is "lncRNA (ENSACAG00000043644.1)". Lineage: Eukaryota; Metazoa; Chordata; Lepidosauria; Squamata; Anolidae. The record is from RNAcentral.